RNAcentral lists this non-coding RNA (28 nucleotides) under Cricetulus griseus (Chinese hamster). The record is from RNAcentral. Lineage: Eukaryota; Metazoa; Chordata; Mammalia; Rodentia; Cricetidae.
AGUCAGAUGACUAAGAAUGUACUGGGGA